Molecule: ribosomal RNA, 367 nt
Filed under: uncultured organism
Description: bacterial LSU rRNA
Rfam family: Bacterial large subunit ribosomal RNA
Source: RNAcentral
CUUUACUAUAGCCUGGAAUUGUGUUCGGGCUUCGCUUACGCAGGAUAGGUGGGAGGCUGUGAAGUUCUGCUUGUGGGCAGAAUCGAGCCAACGGUGAGAUACCACUUUAGCGAGGCUAGAAUUCUAACCCUUACCCGUCAUCCGGGAAGGAGACAGUUUCAGGGGGGCAGUUUGACUGGGGCGGUCGCCUCCUAAAAGGUAACGGAGGCGCGCAAAGGUUCCCUCAAGCUGGUUGGAAAUCAGCUUAAGAGUGUAAAGGCAGAAGGGAGCUUGACUGCAAGACCUACAAGUCGAGCAGGGUGGAAACACGGUCUUAGUGAUCCGACGGUGCCGCAUGGAAGGGCCGUCGCUCAACGGAUAAAAGUUA